RNAcentral lists this ribosomal RNA (500 nucleotides) under uncultured bacterium. RNAcentral's name for it is "partial 16S ribosomal RNA". It matches the Rfam family "Bacterial small subunit ribosomal RNA", at positions 30 to 523 of the family's 1533-position model. The record is from RNAcentral.
AUUGAACGCUGGCGGCAGGCCUAACACAUGCAAGUCGAGCGGAUGACGGGAGCUUGCUUCUUGAUUCAGCGGCGGACGGGUGAGUAAUGCCUAGGAAUCUGCCUGGUAGUGGGGGACAACGUUUCGAAAGGAACGCUAAUACCGCAUACGUCCUACGGGAGAAAGCAGGGGACCUUCGGGCCUUGCGCUAUCAGAUGAGCCUAGGUCGGAUUAGCUAGUUGGUGAGGUAAUGGCUUACCAAGGCGACGAUCCGUAACUGGUCUGAGAGGAUGAUCAGUCACACUGGAACUGAGACACGGUCCAGACUCCUACGGGAGGCAGCAGUGGGGAAUAUUGGACAAUGGGCGAAAGCCUGAUCCAGCCAUGCCGCGUGUGUGAAGAAGGUCUUCGGAUUGUAAAGCACUUUAAGUUGGGAGGAAGGGCAGUAAGUUAAUACCUUGCUGUUUUGACGUUACCGACAGAAUAAGCACCGGCUAACUCUGUGCCAGCCGCCGCCGUAA